GGGGGUGAGUACGUGUUGGUCCCCUGCCUGGGAGCGGGGGAUAACUAUUGAAAACGAUAGCUUAUCCCGAAUAAGAGAAGAUGUUGCAUGACAUUUGCUUGGAGGUGCAAUUGCAUCCGUACCAGAUGGACCUGAGUUGUAUUAGCUAGUUGGUGGGGUAACGGCUCACCUAAGCAACCAUACAUAGCCGACCUGAGAGGGUGAUCGGCCACGCUGGGACUGAAACCCCGCCCAGACUCCUACGGGAAGCAACACUAUGGAAUCUUCUGCAAUGGACGGAAACCUGACCGAGCCACGCCGCGUGAGUGAAGAACGUUUUCGGAUCCUAAAACUCUGUAGUAAGAAAAGAAUGAGUGUGAGAGUGGACCCUCACACUGUGACGGUAUCUUACCAGAAAGGGACUGCUCACUACGUGCCACCAAACGCGGUAAUACUAAAGUCCUUUCGCGUUGUUCGGAUUUAUUGGGAGUAACGCGAGUUCAGGCGUCUAAAGUCUCUGAAGCUAAUGGCUGUUUCUUAAUCAUAGUACACUUUGGAAAAAUGUUUAAACUUGAGUACAGGGGGGAACGAGUGUAUUUCCAUGUGUAGCGAUGAUAUGCAGUAGAACUUAUGGGGGAACACGUGUGUCGAACGCCGCUCUCUGGUAUGCAAACUGAAUCUGAGGCUUAAAAGCCCGGGUUACACACCAGGAUUACAAACCCCUGCAACUUCCCCGCCGGUA
Molecule: ribosomal RNA, 721 nt
Filed under: uncultured bacterium
Lineage: Bacteria
Description: bacterial SSU rRNA
Rfam family: Bacterial small subunit ribosomal RNA
Source: RNAcentral